Molecule: ribosomal RNA, 253 nt
Filed under: uncultured bacterium
Lineage: Bacteria
Description: partial 16S ribosomal RNA
Rfam family: Bacterial small subunit ribosomal RNA
Source: RNAcentral
UACGAAGGGGGCUAGCGUUGCUCGGAAUCACUGGGCGUAAAGGGUGCGUAGGCGGGUCUUUAAGUCAGGGGUGAAAUCCUGGAGCUCAACUCCAGAACUGCCUUUGAUACUGAAGAUCUUGAGUUCGGGAGAGGUGAGUGGAACUGCGAGUGUAGAGGUGAAAUUCGUAGAUAUUCGGAAGAACACCAGUGGCGAAGGCGGCUCACUGGCCCGGUACUGACGCUGAUGUGCGAAAGCGUGGGGAGCAAACAGG